GUUCUGCGCAUCCCUAUUACAUACUGGGGGCAGGUGCUUUCUAGUUUCAUAGAAGAAAUCCUAUCUAACUUAGCAGGGGUGCUGGAUGAUCAGAUUGUGGUCCUUGUCUCACAGCCUCCAAAUUCUGAGCAGUACCAGAAGAUCCUUCAGUCCAGGAAAGUGUCUGAGAUCAGCAUAGCUGCCAAUGCCAUGUUCCUUAGCCAUUUCCAAUUUUCAUUUCAAUCUACUUCAAUUCCAGGCAUAUCAGUGGUCCUGCACACCUAACCUAGUUUAAAAUGUGUAUGAUGUAUUAGAGUUGUUCAUAUCAGUCAGUAUAAAAAUAUGAUAAAUUGAUAGGUAAAUGA
Long non-coding RNA from Hemicordylus capensis (graceful crag lizard), 344 nucleotides. RefSeq lists it as uncharacterized. NCBI's taxonomy places the organism in Eukaryota, Metazoa, Chordata, Lepidosauria, Squamata, Cordylidae. The record is from RefSeq and is a predicted model, not a curated record. The transcript is spliced from 2 exons.